GGUUGUGGCUGAGUGGGAGAGUGCUUGCCUCUCAUGUGUGAGGCCCUGGGUUUGAUUCUCAGCACCG
RNAcentral lists this transfer RNA (67 nucleotides) under Marmota monax (woodchuck). RNAcentral describes it as "tRNA.Glu". The record is from RNAcentral. Lineage: Eukaryota; Metazoa; Chordata; Mammalia; Rodentia; Sciuridae.